CCGUUCCCGCCGCCGGGUGGGAACGGGGAACGUUUGCGUUCACGUCGUUAGGCCAUUGGAGACGUGGAUGUGAACGUAUUUUUUUA
RNAcentral lists this non-coding RNA (86 nucleotides) under unclassified sequences. The record is from RNAcentral.